CAGGGCUUGACAUCCUCUGAAUGCCAUAGAGAUAUGGAGUUCCCUUCGGGGACAGAGAGACAGGUGGUGCAUGGUUGUCGUCAGCUCGUGUCGUGAGAUGUUGGGUUAAGUCCCGCAACGAGCGCAACCCCUGUACUUAGUUGCCAGCAUUAAGUUGGGCACUCUAAGUAGACUGCCGGUGACAAACCGGAGGAAGGUGGGGAUGACGUCAAAUCAUCAUGCCCCUUAUGUCCUGGGCUACACACGUGCUACAAUGGUCGGUACAGAGGGCAGCAAAGCCGUGAGGUGGAGCAAAUCCCAAAAAGCCGAUCACAGUUCGGAUUGUAGGCUGAAACUCGCCUACAUGAAGUCGGAAUCGCUAGUAAUCGCAGGUCAGCAUACUGCGGUGAAUACGUUCCC
RNAcentral lists this ribosomal RNA (399 nucleotides) under uncultured bacterium. RNAcentral describes it as "bacterial SSU rRNA". It matches the Rfam family "Bacterial small subunit ribosomal RNA", at positions 975 to 1375 of the family's 1533-position model. The record is from RNAcentral.